This 347-nucleotide ribosomal RNA is filed under the name uncultured bacterium. RNAcentral's name for it is "partial 16S ribosomal RNA". It matches the Rfam family "Bacterial small subunit ribosomal RNA", at positions 338 to 682 of the family's 1533-position model. The record is from RNAcentral.
CCUACGGGAGGCUGCAGUGAGGAAUAUUGGUCAAUGGGCGCGAGCCUGAACCAGCCAAGUAGCGUGAAGGAUGACUGCCCUACGGGAUGUAAACUUCUUGUAUAAAGGAAUAAAGUGAGGCACGUGUGCCUGUUUGUAUGUACGUUAUGAAAAAGGAUCGGCUAACUCCGUGCCAGCAGCCGCGGUAAUACGGAGGAUCCGAGCGUUAUCCGGAUUUAUUGGGUUGAAAGGGAGCGUAGAUGGGUUGUUAAGUCAGUUGGGAAAGUUUGCGGAUCAACCGGAACAUUGCAAUUGAUACUGGCAGCCUUGAGUACAGUUGAGGUAGGCGGAAUUCGUGGUGUAGCGGU